AUUGAACGCUGGCGGCAUGCCUUACACAUGCAAGUCGAACGGUAACAGGUCUUCGGAUGCUGACGAGUGGCGAACGGGUGAGUAAUACAUCGGAACGUGCCCGAUCGUGGGGGAUAACGCAGCGAAAGCUGUGUUAAUACCGCAUACGAUCUACGGAUGAAAGCGGGGGAUCGCAAGACCUCGCGCGGACGGAGCGGCCGAUGGCAGAUUAGGUAGUUGGUGGGAUAAAAGCUUACCAAGCCGACGAUCUGUAGCUGGUCUGAGAGGACGACCAGCCACACUGGGACUGAGACACGGCCCAGACUCCUACGGGAGGCAGCAGUGGGGAAUUUUGGACAAUGGGCGCAAGCCUGAUCCAGCCAUGCCGCGUGCAGGAUGAAGGCCUCGGGUUGUAACUGCUUUUGUACGGAACGAAAAAGCUCUCUCUAAUACAGGGGUGAA
RNAcentral lists this ribosomal RNA (441 nucleotides) under uncultured bacterium. RNAcentral describes it as "bacterial SSU rRNA". It matches the Rfam family "Bacterial small subunit ribosomal RNA", at positions 30 to 473 of the family's 1533-position model. The record is from RNAcentral.